RNA transcript from Cololabis saira (Pacific saury), 2781 nucleotides. It is a transcript of the gene named nucleoside-triphosphatase, cancer-related, with no coding region annotated. The transcript has 3 exons. The record is from RefSeq and is a predicted model, not a curated record. Lineage: Eukaryota; Metazoa; Chordata; Actinopteri; Beloniformes; Belonidae.
CUGGACGGAUUAGUGAUUUAAGUUUUUUGUUGGACGCUCGUCUCAUUUGUUCGCUUGUCUUUUUCAGCAUGUCGUUGCAUUAUGCGGAGACUUUGUUUUCGUUUGAGCUUUUGGCAGACUACAUCAGACUCGAGAGGCACUGCAAAGUGUCAGAAAAGCUGGCUCUCGGAGUGCGCCUGCUGGAUUUCCCAACGCUGCUCAUUUAUCAGCACCCGCAGAGCCGCAGAGGCAUUAACCAGCCCGAGCAGGGAGGAAGUGAAAAACAGGGAAAACACGCUUUUAACAGGGGAAAAUCUUGCCUUUUCAAAAUGAGCCUCACCUCACUGCGUGUGCAUCUGUCCAACACCCCUCUCUAUGUCAUGGUGCUGGAUGUGGAGGAGGAGGAGACCCCCAGAUUAGUCGGCUCCUCUGUAAUAUCUCUGGCCAAAGCCAUGGACAGAAUCUGGCAGGAUGUGGCUGAAUGUGGCAUCUCUCAUCCCUCUUCUCACACAGAGAGAGAAGUUGCUGGUAUAUGCAACCUCACAGGGGAGAGGAUCGGAAAAUUAUCCCUAAGUUAUAAACUGGUAUGUCUGGGGGCGAGCUUACUGCCGCACAUCCCAGAGAGGAAGGGGGAUGAAAGCACACGUGUGCCUGCUGGAGAACAGCAAGAACGUGUCAAGGAGAAGAUUACGCAUGGAGAGUCCUUGCCUCUUGGCGGUGGGAGUGUGUGUCUUCCCAGUUUUGAUAAGCCGGGCAUAAACAUUCAAAACAAUGGACAAGCCGAUACAAAGAUGUUAUCAAAGAAUAUUCAGGAUGAUGAUGAUGAUGAAAGUGAUACAGCUCAAAGUCAAGCUGGAGACCAUUCUGAGGCUGAUUUAACUUCAUUCUGUCCCCCUUGUCUGUACUACAGUAAUACUGCUGAGGAAAAGAGCCAAUAUGAAGAGCUGGAUUACAAAUUACUCAACUUAGAUAUGGAGGCUUUUACAUUUGAAGAUUUGCCAUCUGAAAAUGAAGAUGAUAAAAAGGAAGUCAAAGGUCCAAGCUCUCAAACGGUGCACGACAGAGUGACUCGCGAUCCUAAGAUGACAAGUAGUCAAGACACCAGUAAGGUGACGCCUAAUGUCCUCAGGGAAGCCUUACAACAGUUACCUCUCUUAAAUGCUCUUGUUGCUGAGCUGUCACAGUUGAGCGGUCAGAGCCCCGACCAGUACUUGAGUGUUCAUCCCAGUCAAGCCGGGACUCGCAGGCCUUCUUCCGCUGAGCCUUCAGCUGGACAUCCAGGACAAACCCCACGCCCACUCAAAACUACACAUUUAAAGCAUUUACAACACCCCAGAAACUUUUCUACGCCCAUAAUUACUCACAGAUCCGUAAAUAAGAAAGAUGGCCAAAAUGAGACUUUAAUAGGGAAGAAAAUCUCCAGUAAAUCUCUAAGGAAAAAGCUUGUGUAUGGAACAACUAAAACAUUUAAUCUAAGAAUGGAGCUAAUUGCUCCUGUCAAAGGGAAGCGUUGUGAGGCCAUGGAGAUGGUACAGGAAGAAACUGUGUCAAGGACAGCCAAAGGAAAGACAAUGUCAAGCAGAAAAGCAAAGACGUCCAGCAAAAGAAAAUCUGUUUAUAACCACAUCUCCGACCAGAAUGAAAAUAUUGAGACAGUGAUACAAAGCUUCACAGCGAACUCUGAGCCACAGGAUACAGUCACGCUGAAACAAAAAACUCAGCAGGAGAAUAUUCAUGUUGAACAAGGAGUUUCACAAAAACUUUUUCUUUCACGAAGAGAUUUGAAAUUUAUUCACAUCCCCAGUGUGGGUAGUGACAGCAUUCCUCAGAGCAAAGAGGAAUAUGAACAUCACAGCAAAUCAGAUCCAGCAGAGUCUGAGCCUGACAAGGACGGAAACCAAAGUGAAUCUUCACAAAGCAGCAGGCGCAGCAGCCACAAAUCUUCAUUUUCAGAGUCCAGCAUUGAAGGAAAUGAGGAAGCAGAGUAUAUGGAUGACUUUGACAGCCUCGAAUACAGUGACGCUUUCUCUCCUGAUCCGUUGAGCAGCCCUGAAACCUCCAGACCCAAGUCUCCCGUUCACCUCGACCUCUGCAACCCCGACUCGACAUCUUUAAGUAUCCAUAAGAGAAAAGCCCUCCUCCCCGAGCCUGUAAAAGCCCCCAGUUCUCCACACCAAGCUCUCAUGGGCACAUACGUCGUCCGGCCUCGCGCCCACACCUCCGCUCUCAGCUUCUCCUCUGAUGAUAAUGACAGGGAUGGGCAGGCUUCCUUACAAACUGUCGUCUCCAGAAAACCGACAGCUGCAAGUAACAAAUCGAAGAAAGACUCUAGUGGUGAGAGCGAUAUAUCGUCAAGUUCUCAAAUGGCUGGGUCAGCCAAGAACUGUGACCCUGUCCGAAGAUUUUCUGCAGAAUCCAUCUCCUCAUUUGAAGCUCAGGAGGGAGAAGAACUGGAGGACGAGCUUGGAUCUCUGGAUUUCAGAAAGAAGUAUAAACACAUUUCCGAGCUUGUUGCCAGCAAACUCCCUGGAUACACAAUGUGUGGGCAAAACCACCCUGAUCCAGAAAGCAUGCGAGGCUUUAUUGUCGUCAGGAGUGGGAGCUGAAGGCUUUUACACAGAGGAGGUGAGAGGCGGAGGCAGGAGAGUGGGCUUUGAUGUGGUCACACUGAGCGGAGAGAGGGGCCACCUGUCCAGAACCAGAGAUGGUCCCGGUGGCUCUCAGGGCGGACGGGAGUACACAGUGGGACAGUAUGUAGUUGAUUUGCCUUCAUUUGAGGGUCUGGUGCUCCCCCUCUUCAGA